RNAcentral lists this non-coding RNA (81 nucleotides) under unclassified sequences. Its description in RNAcentral is "c-di-GMP-II-AAU riboswitch". It matches the Rfam family "Cyclic di-GMP-II riboswitch aptamer". The record is from RNAcentral.
GUGACACGUGGACGUGUUGAUACGCUGGCUGUAAUUGGUCGCUUCGCCAGCGAGGAGCGAGAGCGAAACCUCCCGCGUCGG